AUUAAGGUGGCAGAGCCUGGAAUUGCAAAAGACCUAAGCCCUUUAUACAGAGGUUCAAAUCCUCUCCUUAAUA
Molecule: transfer RNA, 73 nt
Filed under: Acanthopagrus schlegelii (black porgy)
Lineage: Eukaryota; Metazoa; Chordata; Actinopteri; Spariformes; Sparidae
Also listed under: 1 other name
Description: tRNA-Leu
Rfam family: tRNA
About the family: Transfer RNA (tRNA) molecules are approximately 80 nucleotides in length. Their secondary structure includes four short double-helical elements and three loops (D, anti-codon, and T loops).
Source: RNAcentral